Molecule: ribosomal RNA, 252 nt
Filed under: uncultured bacterium
Lineage: Bacteria
Description: partial 16S ribosomal RNA
Rfam family: Bacterial small subunit ribosomal RNA
Source: RNAcentral
UACGGGGGGAGCGAGCGUUGUCCGGAAUCAUUGGGCGUAAAGGGCAUUCAGGUGGGUCUUUAAGUCAGUUGUUAAAUCUUGCGGCUUAACCGUAUGAUGCAAUUGAUACUGGAGAUCUUGAGUUUGAGAGGGGACAGUGGAAUACCUAGUGUAGCGGUGGAAUGCGUAGAUAUUAGGUAGAACACCGGCGGCGAAGGCGACUGUCUGGCUCAUAACUGACACUGAAGUGCGAAAGCAUGGGUAGCAAACAGG